This 497-nucleotide ribosomal RNA is filed under the name uncultured bacterium. Its description in RNAcentral is "partial 16S ribosomal RNA". It matches the Rfam family "Bacterial small subunit ribosomal RNA", at positions 28 to 507 of the family's 1533-position model. The record is from RNAcentral.
GAUGAACGCUGGCGGCGUGCCUAAUACAUGCAAGUCGAGCGAACAGACGAGGAGCUUGCUCCUCUGACGUUAGCGGCGGACGGGUGAGUAACACGUGGAUAACCUACCUAUAAGACUGGGAUAACUUCGGGAAACCGGAGCUAAUACCGGAUAAUAUAUUGAACCGCAUGGUUCAAUAGUGAAAGACGGUUUUGCUGUCACUUAUAGAUGGAUCCGCGCCGCAUUAGCUAGUUGGUAAGGUAACGGCUUACCAAGGCAACGAUGCGUAGCCGACCGGGGAGGGUGAUCGGCAACACUGGAACGGAGACACGGUCCAGACUCCUACGGGAGGCAGCAGUAGGGAAUCUUCCGCAAUGGGCGAAAGCCUGACGGAGCAACGCCGCGUGAGUGAUGAAGGUCUUCGGAUCGUAAAACUCUGUUAUUAGGGAAGAACAAAUGUGUAAGUAACUAUGCACGUCUUGACGGUACCUAAUCAGAAAGCCACGGCUAACUACGUG